This 353-nucleotide ribosomal RNA is filed under the name uncultured Oscillospiraceae bacterium. RNAcentral's name for it is "bacterial SSU rRNA". It matches the Rfam family "Bacterial small subunit ribosomal RNA", at positions 8 to 339 of the family's 1533-position model. The record is from RNAcentral. Lineage: Bacteria; Bacillati; Bacillota; Clostridia; Eubacteriales; Oscillospiraceae.
AGAGUUUGAUCAUGGCUCGAGGACGAACGCUGGCGGCGCGCCUAACACAUGCAAGUCGAACGGACUUUAUGGAAACUGAGGCUUCGGCGGACGAAGAAGUAAAGUUAGUGGCGAACGGGUGAGUAACACGUGAGGAACCUACCUCCCAGAGGGGGAUAACACUUAGAAAUAGGUGCUAAUACCGCAUAAGACCACGACCGGGCAUCCGGAUGAGGUCAAAGGAGCAAUCCGCUGAGAGAUGGCCUCGCGUCCGAUUAGGUAGUUGGUGGGAUAACGGCCUACCAAGCCGACGAUCGGUAGCCGGACUGAGAGGUUGAUCGGCCACAUUGGGACUGAGACACGGCCCAGACUCC